AGUCAGGUAGCCUAGUGGUUAAGGCAGCCCAUGUAUGUUGGGUUCAGAUCCAUUGGAUCUGGUUGCUGGUUCAACUCUAGCCCUGACCA
This 89-nucleotide transfer RNA is filed under the name Endocronartium harknessii PhW48OC. Its description in RNAcentral is "tRNA-Ile (TAT) (tRNA-Ile-TAT-2-1)". It matches the Rfam family "tRNA". Rfam says of the family: Transfer RNA (tRNA) molecules are approximately 80 nucleotides in length. Their secondary structure includes four short double-helical elements and three loops (D, anti-codon, and T loops). Lineage: Eukaryota; Fungi; Basidiomycota; Pucciniomycetes; Pucciniales; Coleosporiaceae. The record is from RNAcentral.